UGUGUGUGUGCUAUUUUCUCGACAAGCAACAAUGAUAAAGCAUCCUAAUAAUUUCAUAGUUAAAUGACUAAACAAUAUAUUUUUUCAUCAUCUGUAAAAUGUAAAUGACUAAUAUCUGGACUUGGUUUUGCACUGGUGGUACAAUAACUUGGCGUCUGACCUGUUACAUUUGUCCAAGAUGCCACCACACUGUCGAAAGCGAGUGAGGAGUAUCGGGCAGAGAUUUCCAUGCUUCUGCGUGACGUUUCUCUCCAUGUUGAACAAGAAGGAAGGAAUGUCAUCAGUGACAUGCUAGACAAAGGGAAUAGAAUUCUACAAGAACAUCUGGAAACCUUUGUCCAUACAGGUCUUUGCCCAAACAGUUGCGGUAAGUGAGGCUCUUUUUAUUAUCUUGUUCAUUCAGCAAAGGCGUUAUGCUGUUUGUUUUCCCUAUACACGUGACAGACUACUUGUGAAUCUUGCUUCAAUAAGAGCAGAGCUCCAUAGGUAUUCAAAGCUGUCAUUUUUUAUGCCUGUUCUGUAAAAGUCUGGAUGUUUUCUUCCCUGUGUUUCUCUCCCACCCCCCACCAUGCAGGGUUGCUAAAUCAGAGAGUCAUAAACUGUGAGACCUGUGCCUCUCAGAUACGCACCUGCCCCUCUCCACUCGGCCGGGAUACCUGUGGCAAGCGCCACCUGGAAGCAGAGGAGGGAAGCUCUGCAGUAUUGGACUGCUCUUUGCCCUGGCACAACUUGGUGGAGGGAGACAAGUUGUACCAGUUCUCUCGGUACUCAAAUCCUGCCGCCACAUUUAUCGUGUUUACAGCCAGCGCUUCAUCAAGUGUGGUGCUGAAACAUAUAAACUUACAUGACAAAGGAUUGUACCAGUGCCAUUUACUGGACAGCAACAACAAGGUUUUGACCAGCUUGAAAUACCAACUGACUGUCAAACCUUCAGCCCCCACCACACCUGCGCCCACGCCUCCCACGAUUCCUCCUCAUGACAGCGGCAGCCUCCCUGAUGAGCCUCCCAAAGAAU
Long non-coding RNA from Brienomyrus brachyistius, 1015 nucleotides. RefSeq lists it as uncharacterized. The record is from RefSeq and is a predicted model, not a curated record. The transcript has 6 exons. NCBI's taxonomy places the organism in Eukaryota, Metazoa, Chordata, Actinopteri, Osteoglossiformes, Mormyridae.